AGUUUGAUCCUGGCUCAGAUUGAACGCUGGCGGCAUGCUUUACACAUGCAAGUCGAACGGUAACAGGGUGCUUGCACCGCUGACGAGUGGCGAACGGGUGAGUAAUGCGUCGGAAUGUACCGUGUAAUGGGGGAUAGCUCGGCGAAAGCCGGAUUAAUACCGCAUACGCCCUGAGGGGGAAAGCGGGGGAUCGAAAGACCUCGCGUUAUACGAGCAGCCGACGUCUGAUUAGCUAGUUGGUGAGGUAAGAGCUCACCAAGGCGACGAUCAGUAGCGGGUCUGAGAGGAUGAUCCGCCACACUGGGACUGAGACACGGCCCAGACUCCUACGGGAGGCAGCAGUGGGGAAUUUUGGACAAUGGGGGCAACCCUGAUCCAGCCAUGCCGCGUGUCUGAAGAAGGCCUUCGGGUUGUAAAGGACUUUUGUCAGGGAGGAAAUCCCGCUGGUUUAAUACCCGGCGGGGAUGACA
RNAcentral lists this ribosomal RNA (470 nucleotides) under Chromobacterium sp. Its description in RNAcentral is "bacterial SSU rRNA". It matches the Rfam family "Bacterial small subunit ribosomal RNA", at positions 10 to 474 of the family's 1533-position model. The record is from RNAcentral. Lineage: Bacteria; Pseudomonadati; Pseudomonadota; Betaproteobacteria; Neisseriales; Chromobacteriaceae.